GACGAACCGUGCAAACGUUAUUCGGAAUCACUGGGCAUAAAGGGCGCGUAGGCGGCUUUCUAAGUCAGGGGUGAAAUCCGGCAGCUCAACUGUCGCAGUGCCUUUGAUACUGGAGAGCUCGAGGGAGGUAGGGGUCUGUGGAACUUCCGGUGGAGCGGUGAAAUGCGUUGAUAUCGGAAGGAACGCCGGUGGCGAAGGCGACUCGCUGGACAAGUAUUGACGCUGAGGUGCGAAAGCGUGGGGAGCAAACAGG
Molecule: ribosomal RNA, 253 nt
Filed under: uncultured bacterium
Lineage: Bacteria
Description: partial 16S ribosomal RNA
Rfam family: Bacterial small subunit ribosomal RNA
Source: RNAcentral